GAAUUUGUUGUAUAUGUUGUGAUAACCAUAUUGAUGCUUUGUUGUACAGAUGCGGGCACAUGGCACAUGUUCAAAAUGUGCUAGAGAGUUGGUCGAAGCAAGAGGAAAGUGUCCGAUGUGUCAUGCGCCUAUUCUAGAAAUGAUUCGUACUUACUCUUUAUGACAAAUUAGAUGACAAUAAAUACAAAAAAUGAGACUAAUAGUGAGAUUCGUUGAUCU
Long non-coding RNA from Cucurbita maxima (winter squash), 219 nucleotides. RefSeq lists it as uncharacterized. The transcript is spliced from 2 exons. The record is from RefSeq and is a predicted model, not a curated record. NCBI's taxonomy places the organism in Eukaryota, Viridiplantae, Streptophyta, Magnoliopsida, Cucurbitales, Cucurbitaceae.